This 220-nucleotide long non-coding RNA is filed under the name Lathyrus oleraceus (garden pea). Its description in RNAcentral is "Pisum sativum (pea) long non-coding RNA (PSAT_LNC032019)". The record is from RNAcentral. Lineage: Eukaryota; Viridiplantae; Streptophyta; Magnoliopsida; Fabales; Fabaceae.
UUGUGGCUUUGCUGUUCAUCUAGACCCUAUGAUAUUCAUCUGAUCAUGUGCUUAUUAAUCUUAUGGCUCAAUCCAAAGGGAAAUUAAUGCUUGUUUUGACCAAUAUCAAAUGGCUGCUCCAUCUUAUGGUUAAUAUACUUGCACACACAAAGAAUUUCUAUUGGGAUACCAUAUAAUGAGACCUUUUAAUUCAUGUCAUUUACUUUAUGAUUUAGGAUAG